Long non-coding RNA from Oreochromis aureus, 482 nucleotides. NCBI's taxonomy places the organism in Eukaryota, Metazoa, Chordata, Actinopteri, Cichliformes, Cichlidae. The record is from Ensembl.
AAAAGCGUCCCCAAUGAACGGGUGUGUCAGCUGAUAUAAGUCCCCAAUUUUGACACAAGUAAACACACAGACGCACACACAGAUAAGCAAACACUGAAAACGCCCCCCAAAAAACAGGAGGUUGGAAAGAAAACGACUGAAGCGCCGUGAAGACGUUUCACCUCUCACCCAAGAGACUUCUUCAGUGCGGCGUUAUCAUGAAGCCCUUCGAGCCUGCAUAAAACCAGGCUCAAAGAAAUGACGCUUUAACAGGUCAUGGCGAGGGGUCAGAGGUCACUUGAAGCAACAGGAUGUCAGCGUGUGAUCUCCGUGCAAACAGGUUCAAAUUGGCUCCCCGAACACGGCGGUGCUUUGAUUUUCCUUUUUUGGGCAGGGGGGUUAAAAAUGUAUGAAAAUGACCUCGUUUGUGGUUAUUCGGUCAGUGAGUUUUGCAGAAAAUAGGUGACACGGUAGUAAAUAUACAAAACCUUUCUCCUUUUUAU